GAGUUUCAGGUUUUAUAACUCCAAUCAAUUCUGAGUUCAUUUCUGUACGUGAUAUAAGGCAGAGAUUAGUGAAUAAGUUCUGAUAAAUUUAAUGACUUGUUCAAGGUAACAAAUAAUGUUUCUCACUUCAAAUGCACUGGAAACACCCGGACAUCUCUUCUGUGGUAACUUGAAAUUCCAUUGUUGAUUUCUAUUUUUUAAUGAAUAGAGACUUUUGGAAGCACAAAACAAAUCAGUGAGUGACUACUGACCCAACAUGUUUGUGAAAGAUGAAAUGUAAGCCUGCGAGGAAGAAAUAUGAGAAGCAAGCCAAUUCGAAAAAAUGAACCUUAAAAAUCCCAGAAAUUGGGGUCACCAGACAUCCGUGAAGCUGGGAAAAUCUGUCAAACAGAAGAAUAUCUAAGAUCCAAAAUGUACAGUGGAUACUGGAAAGUGAACGGAGAGAAGAGAAGCAGUGGAAGAGAUUUCCACUCAGACCCACGAGACACACCAAAUCACAGUGUCCAUCUGCUGAGCAUUGCCUUCUCUUACAGCAACGGGCUGUCGGAGGCCUCACCUUCCCUAAGGCGCUGGAUCUCACCCACUCCUGUCAGGAGUGUCCUCUCAAAACUGAUCUUCUUCAUAGCGUCACAUCAGGGUCCCUCUGAACACCAAGCCUUUAUCAGUGUCACACAAAAUAAAGUGAUACCUUCUAUUCAGGAAAUCUUUGCGCAAAUAUGUUUUUCUCUAGCCACUGCUCCCUUCUGUGUUCCCACCGUAACCAACCUUAGGUACUGAGGGUGCUUUAGACUGUGUCCCCCGA
Molecule: long non-coding RNA, 802 nt
Organism: Cavia porcellus (domestic guinea pig)
Lineage: Eukaryota; Metazoa; Chordata; Mammalia; Rodentia; Caviidae
Exons: 4
Source: RefSeq, a predicted model, not a curated record